This 443-nucleotide ribosomal RNA is filed under the name uncultured bacterium. Its description in RNAcentral is "bacterial SSU rRNA". It matches the Rfam family "Bacterial small subunit ribosomal RNA", at positions 28 to 478 of the family's 1533-position model. The record is from RNAcentral.
GACGAACGCUGGCGGCGUGCUUAACACAUGCAAGUCGAACGCUGAAGCUUGGUGCUUGCACUGGGUGGAUGAGUGGCGAACGGGUGAGUAAUACGUGAGUAACCUGCCCUUGACUCUGGGAUAAGCCUGGGAAACUGGGUCUAAUACUGGAUACGACACGUCACUGCAUGGUGGUGUGUGGAAAGGGUUUUACUGGUUUUGGAUGGGCUCACGGCCUAUCAGCUUGUUGGUGGGGUAAUGGCCUACCAAGGCGACGACGGGUAGCCGGCCUGAGAGGGUGACCGGCCACACUGGGACUGAGACACGGCCCAGACUCCUACGGGAGGCAGCAGUGGGGAAUAUUGCACAAUGGGCGGAAGCCUGAUGCAGCGACGCCGCGUGAGGGAUGACGGCCUUCGGGUUGUAAACCUCUUUCAGCACGGAAGAAGCGAGAGUGACGGUAC